This 465-nucleotide ribosomal RNA is filed under the name uncultured bacterium. RNAcentral describes it as "partial 16S ribosomal RNA". It matches the Rfam family "Bacterial small subunit ribosomal RNA", at positions 28 to 507 of the family's 1533-position model. The record is from RNAcentral.
GACGAACGCUGGCGGCGUGCUUAACACAUGCAAGUCGAACGGAAAGGCCCCUUUGGGGGUACUCGAGUGGCGCACGGGUGAGUAACACGUGAGUAACCUGCCCUUGACUUCGGGAUAACUUCAGGAAACUGGGGCUAAUACCGGAUAGGAAUCCUUGCUGCAUGGUGGGGGUUGGAAAGCUUCGGCGGUUUUGGAUGGACUCGCGGCUUAUCAGCUUGUUGGUGGGGUAGUGGCUUACCAAGGCUUUGACGGGUAGCCGGCCUGAGAGGGCGACCGGCCACAUUGGGACUGGGAUACGGCCCAGACUCCUACGGGAGGCAGCAGGGGGGAAUAUUGCACAAUGGGCGGAAGCCUGAUGCAGCAACGCCGCGUGCGGGAUGACGGCCUUCGGGUUGGAAACCGCUUUCAGCAGGGGCGAAGCUUGUGGUGACGGUACCUGCAGAAGAAGCACCGGCUAACUACGUG